GUCAACACCACCAAUAACACCGUCAACACCACCGAUAAUACCCUCAGCACCAACACCACCGAUAACACCGCCAACACCCACCGAUAACACCGUCAACACCACCGAUAACACCGCCAACACCACCGAUAACACCGUCAACACCAACGCUAACACCGCCAACACCACCGAUAACACCGUCAACACCACCGAUAACACAGUCAACACCACCGAUAACACUGUCAACACCAACGCCACCGAUAACACAGUCAACACCACCGAUAACACCGUCAACACCACCGAUAACACCCAAACACCACCGAUAACACCCAAACACCACCAAUAACACCGUCAACACCACCAAUAACACCGUCAACACCACCAAUAACACCGUCAACACCAACGCCACCGAUAACACCGUCAACACCACCGAUAAUACCCUCAGCACCAACACCACCGAUAACACCGCCAACACCACCGAUAACACCGUCAACACCACCGAUAACACCCAAACACCACCGAUAACACCUCAACACCACCGAUAACACCGUCAACACCACCGAUAACACCCAAACACCACCGAUAACACCCAAACACCACCGAUAACACCGUCAACACCACCGAUAACACCGUCAACACCACCAAUAACACAGUCAACACCAACGCCACCGAUAACACAGUCAACACCACCGAUAACACCGUCAACACCACCGAUAACACCGUCAACACCACCAAUAACACCGUCAACACCACCGAUAACACCGUCAACACCACCGAUAACACCCAAACACCACCGAUAACACAGUCAACACCACCGAUAACACAGUCAACACCACCGAUAACACCGUCAACACCAACAUAUUCCACGUGUAGAUUACAAAUAAACAACAACAUUUAAUCAGUAAAAUACAGCCUUAACACUUCCUUAAAUCCACAUGUACAGAGUUUAAUCACACACUUGUGAUCUUUGGUGUUCAGUUAAAAAGAUAAAAUCCCCGUCAGGAAGAAACACUGAUUCAGAGAAACACCAAUAAACCACUGUCUGAUUCACACCCUCUCUCUGCUGGGGGAGAGAUUCAGAGAGAUGUAUCCAAGACAUCUUUAAAAAAGAUUUUAAAAAUGCAAGAAACUCAUGACUGCACUUAACUAAAUCA
Long non-coding RNA from Ictalurus punctatus (channel catfish), 1130 nucleotides. The record is from Ensembl. Lineage: Eukaryota; Metazoa; Chordata; Actinopteri; Siluriformes; Ictaluridae.